Molecule: ribosomal RNA, 492 nt
Filed under: uncultured bacterium
Lineage: Bacteria
Description: partial 16S ribosomal RNA
Rfam family: Bacterial small subunit ribosomal RNA
Source: RNAcentral
AGUGAACGCUGGCGGUAGGCCUAACACAUGCAAGUCGAACGACAGCACAGUAAGAGCUUGCUCUUACGGGUGGCGAGUGGCGGAUGGGUGAGGAAUACAUCGGAAUCUACUUUUUCGUGGGGGAUAACGUAGGGAAACUUACGCUAAUACCGCAUACGACCUACGGGUGAAAGCAGGGGAUCUUCGGACCUUGCGCGACUGAAUGAGCCGAAGUCGUAUUAGCUAGUUGGCGGGGUAAAGGCCCACCAAGGCGACGAUCCGUAGCUGGUCUGAGAGGAUGAUCAGCCACACUGGAACUGAGACACGGUCCAGACUCCUACGGGAGGCAGCAGUGGGGAAUCUUCGGCAAUGGGCGCAAGCCUGAUCCAGCCAUACCGCGUGAGUGAAGAAGGCCUUCGGGUUGUAAAGCUCUUUUGUUGGGAAAGAACAGCAGCAUGUUAAUCCCCCGCUGUUCUGACGGUACCCAAUGAAUAAGCACCGGCUAACUUCGUG